GGGCCCGCACAAGCGGUGGAGCAUGUGGUUUAAUUCGAUGCAACGCGAAGAACCUUACCAGGGUUUGACAUCCUGCGAAUUUCUGGGAAACCGGAAAGUGCCUUCGGGAGCGCAGUGACAGGUGGUGCAUGGCUGUCGUCAGCUCGUGUCGUGAGAUGUUGGGUUAAGUCCCCGCAACGAGCGCAACCCACGUCUUUAGUUGCCAGCAUUUAGUUGGGCACUCUAGAGAGACCGCCGGUGAUAAACCGGAGGAAGGUGUGGAUGACGUCAAGUCAUCAUGCCCCUUACGGUUGGGCUACACACGUGCUACAAUGGUAGUGACAAUGGGUUAAAUCCCAAAAAGCUAUCUCAGUUCGGAUUGUCGUCUGCAACUCGACGGCAUGAAGUCGGAAUCGCUAGUAAUCG
Molecule: ribosomal RNA, 405 nt
Filed under: uncultured bacterium
Lineage: Bacteria
Description: bacterial SSU rRNA
Rfam family: Bacterial small subunit ribosomal RNA
Source: RNAcentral